Molecule: ribosomal RNA, 429 nt
Filed under: Gemmatimonadota bacterium
Lineage: Bacteria; Pseudomonadati; Gemmatimonadota
Description: Gemmatimonadetes bacterium partial 16S ribosomal RNA
Rfam family: Bacterial small subunit ribosomal RNA
Source: RNAcentral
UAGGGAAUCUUCGGCAAUGGACGAAAGUCUGACCGAGCAACGCCGCGUGAGUGAAGAAGGUUUUCGGAUCGUAAAACUCUGUUGUUAGAGAAGAACAAGGACGUUAGUAACUGAACGUCCCCUGACGGUAUCUAACCAGAAAGACACGGCUAACUACGUGCCAGCAGCCGCGGUAAUACGUAGGUGGCAAGCGUUGUCCGGAUUUAUUGGGCGUCAAGCGAGCGCAGGCGGUUUCUUAAGUCUGAUGUGAAAGCCCCCGGCUCAACCGGGGAGGGUCAUUGGAAACUGGGAGACUUGAGUGCAGAAGAGGAGAGUGGAAUUCCAUGUGUAGCGGUGAAAUGCGUAGAUAUAUGGAGGAACACCAGUGGCGAAGGCGGCUCUCUGGUCUGUAACUGACGCUGAGGCUCGAAAGCGUGGGGAGCAAACAGG